This 497-nucleotide ribosomal RNA is filed under the name uncultured bacterium. Its description in RNAcentral is "partial 16S ribosomal RNA". It matches the Rfam family "Bacterial small subunit ribosomal RNA", at positions 28 to 507 of the family's 1533-position model. The record is from RNAcentral.
GAUGAACGCUGGCGGCGUGCCUAAUACAUGCAAGUCGAGCGAACAGACGAGGUUCUUGCUCCUCUGACGUUAGCGGCGGACGGGUGAGUAACACGUGGAUAACCUACCUAUAAGACUUGGAUAACGUCGAGAAACCGGAACUAAUACCGGAUAAUAUAUUUAACCGCAUGGUUCAGUAGUGUAAGACGGUUUUGCUGUCACUUAUAGAUGUAUCCGCGUCGCAUUAGCGGGUUGGUAAGGUAACGGCUUACCGAGGCGACGAUGCGUAGCCGACCCGAGAGCGGGAAGCCGCCCAGAGGGACUGAGCGGCCGUACUGGGACCGACAGGAGGCAGAGACACCGACUCUAGCGAGAUGUGCGGAAGACUGACGGAGGAGCGCCAGGUGAAUGCAGCAGGUCUUCGGACCGGAUGACUGUGUUAGUAGGGUAGAACGAAUGUGUAAGUAACUAUGCACGUUUUGACGGUACCUGAUCAGAAAGCCACGGCUAACUACGUG